This 87-nucleotide ribosomal RNA is filed under the name Candidatus Cloacimonas sp. 4484_143. The record is from RNAcentral. Lineage: Bacteria; Pseudomonadati; Candidatus Cloacimonadota; Cloacimonadia (SeqCode); Cloacimonadales (SeqCode); Cloacimonadaceae (SeqCode).
GUUCCCAUCCCGAACACAGAAGUUAAGCUUAUCUGCGCCGAUGGUACUGCAUGGGUGACUGUGUGGAAGAGUAGGUCGCUGCCAUCA